RNAcentral lists this ribosomal RNA (1694 nucleotides) under metagenome. RNAcentral describes it as "bacterial LSU rRNA". It matches the Rfam family "Bacterial large subunit ribosomal RNA", at positions 1091 to 2910 of the family's 2925-position model. The record is from RNAcentral.
AACCAGGAGGUUGGCUUAGAAGCAGCCAUCCUUUAAAGAUAGCGUAACAGCUCACUGGUCAAGCGUUCCUGCGGCGAAGAUGUACCGGGUCUAAAACUAUGCGCCGAAGCUUAGGGUUUACACUUAUGUGUAAGCGGUAGCGGAGCGUUCCGUAAGCCUGCGAAGCGGUACCUGUGAGGGGCCGUGGAGGUAUCGGAAGUGCGAAUGAUGACAUGAGUAGCGACAAAAAGUGUGAGAGACACUUUCGCCGAAAGUCCAAGGGUUCCUGCGCAAUGCUAAUCAGCGCAGGGUUAGUCGGCCCCUAAGGUGAGGCAGAAAUGCGUAGCCGAUGGGAAUCACGUUAAUAUUCGUGAACCAGGUGGUAGUGACGGAUCGCGCAGAGCGGUAUCCCCUUAUUGGAUUGGGGGUGCAGUGAGCCGGUUCCUGGAAAUAGCUCCACCAACAUUGACCGUACCCUAAACCGACACAGGUGGACUGGUAGAGUAUACCAAGGCGCUUGAGAGAACUAUACUGAAGGAACUCGGCAAAUUGCAUGCGUAACUUCGGGAUAAGCAUGACUUCUAUCGGGGCAACCCUUUAGGAGUGGCACAAAAGAGGGGGUGGCGACUGUUUACUAAAAACACAGGGCUCUGCGAAGAUGCAAAUCGACGUAUAGGGUCUGACGCCUGCCCGGUGCCGGAAGGUUAAAUGGAGGGGUUAACGCCCUGAAAUGAAGCCCCGGUAAACGGCGGCCGUAACAAUAACGGUCCUAAGGUAGCGAAAUUCCUUGUCGGGUAAGUUCCGACCUGCACGAAUGGCGUAACGACUUCCCCACUGUCUCCAGUAUAGACUCAGCGAAAUUGAAUUCCCCGUGAAGAUGCGGGGUUCCUGCGGUCAGACGGAAAGACCCCAUGCACCUUUACUAUAGCUUUACGCUGGCAUUUGUGUCGGCAUGUGCAGGAUAGGUGGUAGGCUUUGAAGCAGGGACGCUAGUUUCUGUGGAGCCGCAAGAUGAGAUACCACCCUUAUCGUCAUAGAUGUCUAACCGCGGCAUAACAGUGUCCGGGACAGCGUAUGGUGGGUAGUUUGACUGGGGCGGUCGCCUCCCAAAGAGUAACGGAGGCGCGCGAUGGUGGGCUCAGACCGGUCGGAAAUCGGUCGCUGAGUGCAAUGGCAUAAGCCUGCCUGACUGCGAGACUGACAAGUCGAGCAGAGACGAAAGUCGGUCAUAGUGAUCCGGUGGUCCCGCGUGGAAGGGCCAUCGCUCAACGAAUAAAAGGUACGCUGGGGAUAACAGGCUGAUAAUGCCCAAGAGUCCAUAUCGACGGCAUUGUUUGGCACCUCGAUGUCGGCUCAUCACAUCCUGGGGCUGGAGCAGGUCCCAAGGGUAUGGCUGUUCGCCAUUUAAAGUGGUACGUGAGCUGGGUUUAGAACGUCGUGAGACAGUUCGGUCCCUAUCUGCCGUGGGUGUAGGAAUAUUGAGAAGAGCUGACCCUAGUACGAGAGGACCGGGUUGGACGAAUCUCUGGUGGACCUGUUGUGGCGCCAGCCGCAUUGCAGGGUAGCUAAAUUCGGACGGGAUAACUGCUGAAAGCAUCUAAGCAGGAAGCCUCCUUCAAAACUAGUAUUCCCUUGAGAGCCGUGGAAGACCACCACGUCGAUAGGCCGGGUGUGGAAGCGUAGCAAUAUGUGAAGCUUACCGGUACUAAUAGCUC